This 471-nucleotide ribosomal RNA is filed under the name Nymphon unguiculatum. RNAcentral's name for it is "partial 16S ribosomal RNA". It matches the Rfam family "Bacterial large subunit ribosomal RNA", at positions 1846 to 2599 of the family's 2925-position model. The record is from RNAcentral. Lineage: Eukaryota; Metazoa; Arthropoda; Pycnogonida; Pantopoda; Nymphonidae.
UAAAAAGUAUGGUCUGCCCAGUGAGUAAUUUUAACGGCCGCAAUAUUUGUGCGAAGGUAGCAUAAUCAUUUGUCUUUUAAUUGAUGACUGGAAUGAAUGGCUGGACGGAGAAAAGCUGUCUCUUUUAUAUUUUUUAAAAAUUUACUUUCAAGUUAAAAGGCUUGAAUAAUAUAGAGGGACGAGAAGACCCUAUUGAGUUUUAUAGCUAAACUUCAAAUUUUUCUUUAAUUUUAAAUAAUAGCUAUUUAGUUGGGGUGACUUUAUAAUAAAAUCUAUAUUAGAAUUAAUAGACAUUAAGUUAUUAGGAUCCAUACUUUAUGAUAAAUAGAUCAAAUUACCUUAGGGAUAACAGCGUAAUAUUUUUUUAGAGUCCAAAUCGAUUAAAAUGCUUACGACCUCGAUGUUGGAUUAAAGAACCUAAUUUGGAGAAGAAGCUAAUUUAGGUAGUCUGUUCGACUAUUAAAUCUUUAC